GUUCCUAUUUAGAAUUCAAGAAAUUGUGCCGCUUAAUGCGACAUUUUGACAGUGACACGUGAAGGGAUAACAGAAAAAGGAUAAUAGGCCCAAUUGCCGAAUGUGACGUUGAUUAAAUGGAAACACACACACAAAUCGCAGCUAAAUAUUUUGGCAUUUGAAUAAAUUUGGGAUUACAAGACACCUUUUGAAUGAUUGGAAUGUUUCACAUGAAUUGCAAUGAAAGCAGAGCAUAAUAAUUCAUUUUUCAAAAUUACUUUUGACAUUUGAAGUGCUC
Molecule: long non-coding RNA, 277 nt
Organism: Drosophila innubila
Lineage: Eukaryota; Metazoa; Arthropoda; Insecta; Diptera; Drosophilidae
Exons: 2
Source: RefSeq, a predicted model, not a curated record